CCAGUAAAUCGCCUUAUCGCUGCGCUUUUAGCGUAGAGGAAAGUCCGGACACCAUAGUGUAAUCAUAGUGGCUAACAGCCAUCCACCGAGAGGUGAGGAAAAGUGCAACAGAAAGUAUGUACAGGUCAUGCUGUAGUGAAACCAGGUAAACUCUAUGAGGUGCAAUACCAUGUAUACUAACGUUUGAGCGUGCACGCGCGAUUGUUAGAGGGUAGGUAGCUAAAGUCUAUUGGUAACAAUAGUCGUAGAUAAAUGAUAAGGGUUACGUCUAGGCGUAAUACAGAAUCCGGCUUAUAGAUUUGCUUAUAUA
RNAcentral lists this RNase P RNA (310 nucleotides) under Olleya aquimaris. Its description in RNAcentral is "Olleya sp. L-4 Bacterial RNase P class A". It matches the Rfam family "Bacterial RNase P class A". Rfam says of the family: Ribonuclease P (RNase P) is a ubiquitous endoribonuclease, found in archaea, bacteria and eukarya as well as chloroplasts and mitochondria. Its best characterised activity is the generation of mature 5'-ends of tRNAs by cleaving the 5'-leader elements of precursor-tRNAs. Cellular RNase Ps are ribonucleoproteins. The record is from Rfam by way of RNAcentral. Lineage: Bacteria; Pseudomonadati; Bacteroidota; Flavobacteriia; Flavobacteriales; Flavobacteriaceae.